This 23-nucleotide non-coding RNA is filed under the name Arabidopsis thaliana (thale cress). The record is from RNAcentral. Lineage: Eukaryota; Viridiplantae; Streptophyta; Magnoliopsida; Brassicales; Brassicaceae.
AGGUACUAAUCUUUGUGCAUGCA